RNAcentral lists this ribosomal RNA (497 nucleotides) under uncultured bacterium. RNAcentral's name for it is "partial 16S ribosomal RNA". It matches the Rfam family "Bacterial small subunit ribosomal RNA", at positions 28 to 507 of the family's 1533-position model. The record is from RNAcentral.
GAUGAACGCUGGCGGCGUGCCUAAUACAUGCAAGUCGAGCGAACAGACGAGGAGCUUGCUCCUCUGACGUUAGCGGCGGACGGGUGAGUAACACGUGGAUAACCUACCUAUAUGACUGGGAAAACUUCGGGAAACCGGAGCUAAUACCGGAUAAUAUAUUGAACCGCAUGGUUCAAUAGUGAAAGACGGUUUUGCUGUAACUUAUAGAUGGAUCUGCGCCGCAUUAGCUAGUUGGUAAGGUAACGGCUUACCAAGGCAACGAUGCGUAGCCGACCUGAGAGAGUGAUCGGCCACACUGGAACUGAGACACGGUCCAGACUCCUACGGGAGGCAGCAGUAGGGAAUCUUCCGCAAUGGGCGAGAGCCUGACGGAGCAACGCCGCGUGAGUGAUGAAGGUCUUCGGAUCGUAAAACUCUGUUAUUAGGGAAGAACAAAUUUGUAAGUAACUAUGCACGUCUUGACGGUACCUAAUCAGAAAGCCACGGCUAACUACGUG